AAAAUUUAGCGAACUCUUUAACGAUACGAACAGUUUGGUGGAACCGACCCUUAAUCUUACUCUAUGGUCAUACCUAAAUUAAAAUAUUUUACAGGAAGAAGUAACUGAACUGGCUGUACUACCGACACUUGAUAAUGAUGACAGCCCAUCUAUUUUUAUACUACAUGAUGAGUUUGCUCAACAAACUUGUUCCAAUGUUGAAGAUUGGAAUCGGCCAGGGACAUCGGCUCAACCCCCAGUUUUUCCACCCUUACCUGUGGACAGGAAUAACCAAGACUUGGCGGGCAGAGAGGAGCCUGAAAUAGUUAACAGCCCAGACAGGAGUGAGGCCGGCAUGACACAGACGCAGGAG
Molecule: long non-coding RNA, 352 nt
Organism: Cydia fagiglandana
Lineage: Eukaryota; Metazoa; Arthropoda; Insecta; Lepidoptera; Tortricidae
Exons: 3
Source: RefSeq, a predicted model, not a curated record